ACUGCAUUGCUCAUGGCUGCUCCUUUAGCUCUGGGAGAUGUGGAAAUUGAGAUAGUAGAUAAAUUAAUUUCUAUUCCUUAUGUUGAGAUGACAUGGAAACUGAUGGAACGCUUUGGUGUCACUGUGGAGCACAGUGGUAGCUGGGACCGAUUCCUGGUCAAGGGUAGUCAAAAAUAAAAGUCCCCUGGAAAUGCUUAUGUUGAAGGCGUUGCAUCAAGUGCGAGUUAUUUCCUAGCAGGCACAACAGUCACUGGUGGCACUGUCAUAGUUGAAGGUUGCAGCACGAGCAGUUUACAGCAUCAAACUGGCUGCAGUUGCUUCUUGUAAGGAACACAUAAAUCUGGAGCAAUGGCUGAACGAAAAUCUGAGCACAUACAAGGAUACUUUUUUCGAGGAUUGCCUCAAGUUCUUAAAAGAAAUACCUUUUGCAGCAACAAAUGAUGCAUCUGCCAAUCCUUUCCAACAUUCCAGCUUUGUCAUGAAUCUUUAUCUAGAGACAAGUUCUACUCUUUUGAAGGUCCUUCAAGCCCAUUAUGGCCAGCUCAUCUCCCACCAACUUUCUGAAGAAUUGAGAAGGUUGCAGGCAUCAUCUGUGCAUGCUAAUCUAAGACUGCAAAAUGGUGGAGCUACAGAUUCAUCAACACAUGAUGCAUCAUAUCUGAUUAUUCACUGGCCUCUUCAGAUCAACAUAAAAUAAUCUUUUUUAACAUCUAUGUCCAAACACAGUUCAAAAUGUAUGAUUAUUCAUUGGCCCUUCACUCACUGCUGAAGCAUAUGUUUGUUAAGUCGCACUCUUUGUCAUGCAGCAUAUUGCGAACCUUGCUGGGAGCAAAACUCUAGUUCUGCCUGUGCUUGCAUUUAAUGUCAUCAAUGGAGGAUCACAUGGUUUC
This is an RNA transcript of Magnolia sinica, 890 nucleotides long. RefSeq lists it as uncharacterized. NCBI's taxonomy places the organism in Eukaryota, Viridiplantae, Streptophyta, Magnoliopsida, Magnoliales, Magnoliaceae. The transcript has 5 exons. The record is from RefSeq and is a predicted model, not a curated record.